This 2908-nucleotide ribosomal RNA is filed under the name Escherichia coli. RNAcentral describes it as "23S ribosomal RNA". It matches the Rfam family "Bacterial large subunit ribosomal RNA". The record is from RNAcentral. Lineage: Bacteria; Pseudomonadati; Pseudomonadota; Gammaproteobacteria; Enterobacterales; Enterobacteriaceae.
GGUUAAGCGACUAAGCGUACACGGUGGAUGCCCUGGCAGUCAGAGGCGAUGAAGGACGUGCUAAUCUGCGAUAAGCGUCGGUAAGGUGAUAUGAACCGUUAUAACCGGCGAUUUCCGAAUGGGGAAACCCAGUGUGAUUCGUCACACUAUCAUUAACUGAAUCCAUAGGUUAAUGAGGCGAACCGGGGGAACUGAAACAUCUAAGUACCCCGAGGAAAAGAAAUCAACCGAGAUUCCCCCAGUAGCGGCGAGCGAACGGGGAGCAGCCCAGAGCCUGAAUCAGUGUGUGUGUUAGUGGAAGCGUCUGGAAAGGCGCGCGAUACAGGGUGACAGCCCCGUACACAAAAAUGCACAUGCUGUGAGCUCGAUGAGUAGGGCGGGACACGUGGUAUCCUGUCUGAAUAUGGGGGGACCAUCCUCCAAGGCUAAAUACUCCUGACUGACCGAUAGUGAACCAGUACCGUGAGGGAAAGGCGAAAAGAACCCCGGCGAGGGGAGUGAAAAAGAACCUGAAACCGUGUACGUACAAGCAGUGGGAGCACGCUUAGGCGUGUGACUGCGUACCUUUUGUAUAAUGGGUCAGCGACUUAUAUUCUGUAGCAAGGUUAACCGAAUAGGGGAGCCGAAGGGAAACCGAGUCUUAACUGGGCGUUAAGUUGCAGGGUAUAGACCCGAAACCCGGUGAUCUAGCCAUGGGCAGGUUGAAGGUUGGGUAACACUAACUGGAGGACCGAACCGACUAAUGUUGAAAAAUUAGCGGAUGACUUGUGGCUGGGGGUGAAAGGCCAAUCAAACCGGGAGAUAGCUGGUUCUCCCCGAAAGCUAUUUAGGUAGCGCCUCGUGAAUUCAUCUCCGGGGGUAGAGCACUGUUUCGGCAAGGGGGUCAUCCCGACUUACCAACCCGAUGCAAACUGCGAAUACCGGAGAAUGUUAUCACGGGAGACACACGGCGGGUGCUAACGUCCGUCGUGAAGAGGGAAACAACCCAGACCGCCAGCUAAGGUCCCAAAGUCAUGGUUAAGUGGGAAACGAUGUGGGAAGGCCCAGACAGCCAGGAUGUUGGCUUAGAAGCAGCCAUCAUUUAAAGAAAGCGUAAUAGCUCACUGGUCGAGUCGGCCUGCGCGGAAGAUGUAACGGGGCUAAACCAUGCACCGAAGCUGCGGCAGCGACGCUUAUGCGUUGUUGGGUAGGGGAGCGUUCUGUAAGCCUGUGAAGGUGUGCUGUGAGGCAUGCUGGAGGUAUCAGAAGUGCGAAUGCUGACAUAAGUAACGAUAAAGCGGGUGAAAAGCCCGCUCGCCGGAAGACCAAGGGUUCCUGUCCAACGUUAAUCGGGGCAGGGUGAGUCGACCCCUAAGGCGAGGCCGAAAGGCGUAGUCGAUGGGAAACAGGUUAAUAUUCCUGUACUUGGUGUUACUGCGAAGGGGGGACGGAGAAGGCUAUGUUGGCCGGGCGACGGUUGUCCCGGUUUAAGCGUGUAGGCUGGUUUUCCAGGCAAAUCCGGAAAAUCAAGGCUGAGGCGUGAUGACGAGGCACUACGGUGCUGAAGCAACAAAUGCCCUGCUUCCAGGAAAAGCCUCUAAGCAUCAGGUAACAUCAAAUCGUACCCCAAACCGACACAGGUGGUCAGGUAGAGAAUACCAAGGCGCUUGAGAGAACUCGGGUGAAGGAACUAGGCAAAAUGGUGCCGUAACUUCGGGAGAAGGCACGCUGAUAUGUAGGUGAAGUCCCUCGCGGAUGGAGCUGAAAUCAGUCGAAGAUACCAGCUGGCUGCAACUGUUUAUUAAAAACACAGCACUGUGCAAACACGAAAGUGGACGUAUACGGUGUGACGCCUGCCCGGUGCCGGAAGGUUAAUUGAUGGGGUCAGCGCAAGCGAAGCUCUUGAUCGAAGCCCCGGUAAACGGCGGCCGUAACUAUAACGGUCCUAAGGUAGCGAAAUUCCUUGUCGGGUAAGUUCCGACCUGCACGAAUGGCGUAAUGAUGGCCAGGCUGUCUCCACCCGAGACUCAGUGAAAUUGAACUCGCUGUGAAGAUGCAGUGUACCCGCGGCAAGACGGAAAGACCCCGUGAACCUUUACUAUAGCUUGACACUGAACAUUGAGCCUUGAUGUGUAGGAUAGGUGGGAGGCUUAGAAGUGUGGACGCCAGUCUGCAUGGAGCCGACCUUGAAAUACCACCCUUUAAUGUUUGAUGUUCUAACGUUGACCCGUAAUCCGGGUUGCGGACAGUGUCUGGUGGGUAGUUUGACUGGGGCGGUCUCCUCCUAAAGAGUAACGGAGGAGCACGAAGGUUGGCUAAUCCUGGUCGGACAUCAGGAGGUUAGUGCAAUGGCAUAAGCCAGCUUGACUGCGAGCGUGACGGCGCGAGCAGGUGCGAAAGCAGGUCAUAGUGAUCCGGUGGUUCUGAAUGGAAGGGCCAUCGCUCAACGGAUAAAAGGUACUCCGGGGAUAACAGGCUGAUACCGCCCAAGAGUUCAUAUCGACGGCGGUGUUUGGCACCUCGAUGUCGGCUCAUCACAUCCUGGGGCUGAAGUAGGUCCCAAGGGUAUGGCUGUUCGCCAUUUAAAGUGGUACGCGAGCUGGGUUUAGAACGUCGUGAGACAGUUCGGUCCCUAUCUGCCGUGGGCGCUGGAGAACUGAGGGGGGCUGCUCCUAGUACGAGAGGACCGGAAGGAGUGGACGCAUCACUGGUGUUCGGGUUGUCAUGCCAAUGGCACUGCCCGGUAGCUAAAUGCGGAAGAGAUAAGUGCUGAAAGCAUCUAAGCACGAAACUUGCCCCGAGAUGAGUUCUCCCUGACUCCUUGAGAGUCCUGAAGGAACGUUGAAGACGACGACGUUGAUAGGCCGGGUGUGUAAGCGCAGCGAUGCGUUGAGCUAACCGGUACUAAUGAACCGUGAGGCUUAACCUU